GCGAUGGUGGCCCACAUCAACUGCACGAUCCAAUGGCUUCAAGCGAUCCUGUAUGCGACCUGACGGCCCAUGUUCAUUGUCGGUCAGGAAAACUAAAUAGAAAAAGAUUUUUUGAGUGUCAUCCAAUGGUUGAAAUCAAAUCCAUCGCUCGAUCCAACGGUCCAUGUUCGAUCCGACUGAGAACUAAAUUGAUUUGCAUUGAUCGAUGGAUUAGAAUCAAUCUAAGGCAAGAUCGGAUGGCUGACAGUAAUGCCAACUUAUAUAAGGCAUGAUGCGAUGAUUUUGGGCAAGAUCUGGAGCACCCAAUCAAGAUCCGAUGGCU
Molecule: long non-coding RNA, 322 nt
Filed under: Elaeis guineensis (African oil palm)
Lineage: Eukaryota; Viridiplantae; Streptophyta; Magnoliopsida; Arecales; Arecaceae
Description: long non-coding RNA (EGUI_LNC061124)
Source: RNAcentral